Molecule: small RNA, 2900 nt
Filed under: Pongo abelii (Sumatran orangutan)
Lineage: Eukaryota; Metazoa; Chordata; Mammalia; Primates; Hominidae
Description: retained intron
Source: RNAcentral
CUUCAGUAGUAUUUAUUUACUCCCCACUCUGGUGAUCCUCUCUGGUUUCACGUCAGCAGAGUCUGAGAUGAUGAGGCUUCAGGGACUUUACCAUACUUGGGCAAGGGUUUCCUGACUUAAACUUUUUAGUUAUUGAGGACUCAGCUGAGUUCAUUAACUGACCAAAGUUUUGAUGUUUUUCACAAGCAAUUUUUUAGGAACUGAGCGUCUUUUAGUAAUGCACGAUGUCUGGGUCCAUAGUUAUUGUACUAAAUUAACCAUUCCCCAAACCCAUGAUUGCCUCGAAACAACAGUGCAGGGAGUCUGAGGUCUAGGUGGCCAUCCGCAUCGGCAUUUUGGCAUGACUGUGUUUAAUAUUCUCAUGGCCGGUUUUGUCCUCAUUUACAUAACAAAGGCAUGCUAUAUUUUUUAAAAGUCACUUUGUCAAAAUGACACUUGUAAAGAGCUUCAGGUUAAAGGAGUGUGAUCUAUGCAAUUUUGACCUUAAAAGUUGCCAGUUUGUCAUGUAAAAGGCCCAUGGCUCUCCCGUCUGCCCCACUGAGGAUGACUACCUGAGAGUCAGCCUUCUUCCAACUCAAAUAAACCCCACCCCCCAGUUUCAAUAUUAAAUCAUACUGUGGAUGCAAUGGAAUGGCAGCUUUUAAUGUCUUUUUAUAAACGUGCACAGAUGUAUGUCAUGAGUGCACUAUUGUGAUGUAACAAUACUGCCAUAGUGAUGAAGUGACUUUUUGCUAGUUUCUAUAGAAGAGAAAUCAUCCAAGGUCAGCAGGGAUUUGCAUUUGUGCUUGAUCCUUGAGAAUAGAACAUUUUAAGCAUGUUCGUAUGAAAUACGCAUUUGUCGUAAAGGAAAAUGCAGAAAUAUCUGAUUUACUAAAUACCUAAUAGUUUUUUUCAAUUGAAAGCAAAACCUAUCUGCGGUUUUCUUUUGGAAGUUUAUCCUGACCCAGAGUGACCUGCUCCUCACUGGUAACAAUGGAGGAGGAGAAGGAGAAGGGUCAGAGCUUUAAAAGUCUGCUAAGAAUUGUAGCUCAUGGAAAAUUGGCGUAGAAAAAGUGCUUGUGCUUCGCAGUGAGGUGUCAUUUUUACGAAGUAACUUUUUUUUAACAGAGCCACACUUUAAAGCUUCUGAAAAUAAGAACCAAACCUUGGUAAGCGAAAGUUUGCUUACUUAUCUUCACCUUCAUGGCCCAGUUAAUCACAAUCCAUUUGAAACAUCCAAAUAUCCCUGACCGUUUCAUACGAGGUGUUUUGGGGGGUGGCGACUUCAAGGUUGGGGGAGUAGGGAGUGACGUUUCUGUUUAUUUCAACCCUCAGUAUUGUUUGGCUUUAUCUGUGAUUUGCCAGUAUGGGGAUCACAUACUGGAGUUCGUUCAUUUCCGUGGAUCUUGUUUUUAAAAGUAAUCAUGUGCUUUCGUACAGGUCAACUACUGGGUUCACAUUAAACAUGAAUUUUCUUUGGAAACUUAUGUAAACUCCAUCUUUUUUGAGUGUACGCCUGUUUUAACUUAUGCUUAGUUUUUAAUUGUUAAAGGACUUCAGAAAUGCAGUGGCAAACUCAGCCCCAUCGCUCAGCUUCCAUCCUAUUUAACCAUCUCCACCACACCCAAAAAAAGCAAAUCCCAGACGUCAAAUAUAUCAUUUCAUCCAUAAAUACUUUUGCAUUAUAAACACCAUCUUAGUUUGUAGGAUUUAUUUUGACAUUCAAUUUUCCAUUUGGGUUUUUGUUUUCUCCUGGGGUUGGUAAUUUUUCUUCUGGGAGGGCUUCUACGUGGUGCGUGGCACUAGCACAUUCCAGCAGGCAGAGCCUCACCCGCCUCCCCUUUUUUUCCAGUGAUCUAGUGAAUGGCCUCGUGGCUCUCAUGAACAGCAACGUCAGCAGCCCGGUCAACCUGGGGAACCCAGAAGAACACACAAUCCUAGAAUUUGCUCAGUUAAUUAAAAACCUUGUUGGUAGCGGAAGUGAAAUUCAGUUUCUCUCCGAAGCCCAGGAUGACCCACAGAAAAGAAAACCAGACAUCAAAAAAGCGAAGCUGAUGCUGGGGUGGGAGCCCGUGGUCCCGCUGGAGGAAGGUUUAAACAAAGCAAUUCACUACUUCCGUAAAGAACUCGAGUACCAGGCAAAUAAUCAGUACAUCCCCAAACCAAAGCCUGCCAGAAUAAAGAAAGGACGGACUCGCCACAACUGAACUCCUCACUUUUAGGACACAAGACUACCAUUGUACACUUGAUGGGAUGUAUUUUUGGCUUUUUUUGUUGUUUAAAGAAAGACUUUAACAGGUGUCAUGAAGAACAAACUGGAAUUUCAUUCUGAAGCUUGCUUUAAUGAAAUGGAUGUGCCUAAAAGCUCCCCUCAAAAAACUGCAGAUUUUGCCUUGCACUUUUUGAAUCUCUCUUUUUAUGUAAAAUAGCGUAGAUGCAUCUCUGCGUAUUUUCAAGUUUUUUUAUCUUGCUGUGAGAGCAUAUGUUGUGACUGUCAUUGACAGUUUUAUUUACUGGUUUCUUUGUGAAGCUGAAAAGGAACAUUAAGCGGGACGAAAAAUGCCGAUUUUAUUUAUAAAAGUGGGUACUUAAUAAAUGAGUGGUUAUACUAUGCAUAAAGAAAAAUCCUAGCAGUAUUGUCAGGUGGUGGUGCACCGGCAUUGAUUUUAGGGCAGAUAAAAGAAAUCUGUGUGAGAGCUUUAUGUUUCUCUUUUAAUUCAGAGUUUUUCCAAGGUCUACUUUUGAGUUGCAAACUUGACUUUGAAAUAUUCCUGUUGGUCAUGAUCAAGGAUAUUUGAAAUCACUACUGUGUUUUGCUGCGUAUCUGGGGCGGGGGCAGGUGGGGGGGGACAAAGUUAACAUAUUCUUGGUUAACCAUGGUUAAAUAUGCUAUUUUAAUAAAAUAUUGAAACUCACCAGUC